GGGAGAAAUAUAUCUAAGUCCAAGCUUAAAAGCCCAUUUCGCAACUCAAAAAGUGAGUUGCGAAAAUUUGGCAAUGUGAAUUUCACCUUGCGAAAUGCACAUUUUGGCAAGAUGCAAUUUACAACCUCUCGGGAUUGCACUUUCGCAAGGAGUAACCAGUGCAAAAAUUUUCGCAAGUCAUUUUUCACCUUGCGAAAUUGUUUUCAAAGCAAAUAUCAAAAUGCAACCUCUCGGGAUUGGUUUUUAAGGGGAGUAGCCAGUGCGAAAAUUUGGCAAGGUGAAUUUUCACCUUGCGAAAUUUUUUCUUCAUGCUUACCAAGGAUUUGAUUCUUUUUAAAUUCAUUUUCAAACUUCAAUUUUGUAGUUUUAACACUCCUCAGUUCAUCCCCGUACUUAGACAAAUUUUCAAAAAAAAAUUUCAUGGCCAAAAACCCUUUUUAAAGCCUUCUCAACUUCAUUUUUCAUGCAUAAAACACUAUUCCCCUUGCAUUUCCUCUCUAAGCCACAUGCUUCAUUGUUCCAAGGUGAGUAAUUUUUCAUUUUUCUCCAUUUUUGGCUCCUUAAAUUGCUUGUUUAUGUCAUUUCUAUGUUUUAGGAACCAUAAACAUGCAUUUUCAUCCAUUAAAACCAUUUCAAAAAUCCAUUUUUUUCAAAUCAAAGACCC
Molecule: long non-coding RNA, 664 nt
Filed under: Vitis vinifera (wine grape)
Lineage: Eukaryota; Viridiplantae; Streptophyta; Magnoliopsida; Vitales; Vitaceae
Description: long non-coding RNA (VVIN_LNC006572)
Source: RNAcentral